CAGUCUUUAAUAGUAUAAACAUAGAGUUCUUCAAAAGUACAGAAAGAUGGUACCAUUCCAUCCAUAAAAAGGGUGCCUGUUUUCUACUGUUGAGCAGCAACUGAUUCACCGCUAACAGCAAAAGAUCUACGAUUUAUUUGUUGUAUUUUUCUUCGUAAAAGAAGACAGAGCAAAGGAAAGGAGAUGUAAACAAGAUUCAAAGAAAACUGUUUUUGUAAUUAACAGAGAACUACAAAUCCCCAAUCAAAGGCACAAUUCAAGUAAGCAAGCAUUGAUUCUUUGCAUAAGGUUAAUUGACAAUCAUGGAAAAACCACGUCUCCAGAUGAUAGACGAAAACAGAUCAAAACAGGAUAGGACUUUGAACCUCUGAAUGUUCAAUGUUACCCAAUACAUUCCCAAUCCCAGCCUUAGUCCCUUGUGUUUCAAUAUAAACAUAAGCAAAAGGAAUUUCAAAAGCUUAAAUCAAUUUUCGCAUCUAGACUAGAUAUUUCUCUUGUCAACUUUAGGAAGAAUUUCAUGACACUGACCAAGAUAGAAAUUUAAAGAGUUCCAACUCUGCAUGCAUGAAUCAUGGUGUUCAAACAUCAACAUAAUAGGAAAAUUUUCCACCUAUAAAACCCUAUUGUAAAUGCUUACGAAUCCAAGUAAAAUACAAGCAUAGAAACAGAGUUGAUGCUGCUAAUAAAACUAGUAUGCCUUUGACCGGACUAGUAAGCUAGAUUUAGUCCGGUACAUGAAAAAUGGCCUAAGAUACCCUAUUGUAACAGAGAACUGGUGCGCUCACCAGAAAAUGUAUGCAAAGGAAAAAAGAAUAUUGCAAUAAGAAGUUUUACUACCACUGAAUGUGAAUGCACACCAGGUAAAAUAGUACAAAGGAUGGUAGUAAAGAAUUAAACUUGGCCAGCCAGAGUCUAAUCAACAUAUAUGAACAUGUACCCUAAUCAAUUGUACAUAACAACAAGCUUUAUAUAAGUGUAGAAACAAUGCAAUGCGCUGAGAGAAAAAUUAGUACUUCUUUUGGCAAAAAUAUGUCACAGAAGAUUUCCUUGUAUCAGAGAGAAUUCCAGUAAUUUAGCAACCUAUGAAUCUAGGAUAUUAGCUUUUGGCUGUUGGCUGGAGCAGUGAAGAAUUCUCAGGAGUUAUUACGAACAAGCGAAUUGACACCCUCUUCUUUAACGCUAACAUUACCAGGAUUAUUGGUCAAGCUCUGCUUCUUCUCUGCAUUACUUCCAUUAUCAAGACCCUUUUCCAGAUGACCUGAAUUGUUGUUGGCAUUUCCAUUGCUCUUUGCAAAUCCAGCCGAAGCAAUGCGCUCCACAUUCUUGGGUGACCCGAUGAUGGUUACAUCGACACUCCCUCUUUCCCGUUUCCCCAAAUUCCCAGAUCCAGAAACCUCCACGGAUUCUACGUCCUUCCUCUUCGCCACCAACGCCACGUGCUCCAACGCCUCUCUAGCUCUCUUUCUACAAAGAGCCGCCUCCCUUACCCGCCUUUCGGCCUCCGUCCUCGCCACGAUCACCGCCUUGGCCAUGGAGGAAGCCGCAAUCUUCGCUGCGCAAAGAAGAACCGUGGCCAUUUUCUUAUCAAUGGUUCGAUUAUCAGUUUUAUCGAGGUGGAAGAAAGAGAAAUUGGGGUCAGCGCAAGGCGGGCAGAGGAAGGGGAAAGGUGAAGGAGGGUGAGAGGGGGCGCAGUGUGAGUGGGUGAAGGAGGAGCAAUUGGAGCAGGAGAGGCGCUUGCAGGGAGGAGGAGGGGAAGAGUCAUAAAGUGUGAAGCAGGAAGGGCAGAAAGAGGAAGGAUGGAGGCGAAGGACGCAGGAGGUACAGAGACGGCGAUAGAUGCCUCGGAGGCGGACGUGGUGGAGGGGCCAGCUGUCUUUGGUGUCGCAGUUGCCGCAUUGUCCAGCGGAUGGAUUGGCGUCGCUGUUGAUGGUAGCGGUUGUAUUGGGUUUUGAUGCUAUUGGGAUAUUCAUUUUGGGAAAUUCUAAAGAAGAUAACGAUACACUUAAGAAGAGAUACUUUAUUUUUUAGGGUUUUACUCGUUGGUUAUGGUGGUGCCGGUGCUCGUGCCGGUGCUGUUUAGAGCUGAUGACCGUUUCGGGGAAGGGCGAGGGGUUUAUGAGAUAAUUUUCACUUUCCAACGCCCACAUAAAUUUGAGAAAGCGAACGAAA
RNAcentral lists this unclassified non-coding RNA (2169 nucleotides) under Hevea brasiliensis (rubber tree). The record is from RNAcentral. Lineage: Eukaryota; Viridiplantae; Streptophyta; Magnoliopsida; Malpighiales; Euphorbiaceae.